GGCCAGGAGCGAGGCGGCCGUGCGCAGGCGGACCCCGGCGCGCAGCAAGCCCCAGCCCAGCCAGAAGCAGGCGGCCAGGAGGAGGCAGCAGCAGCACAGCGAGGAGCCCGGGAUCGCCGGCCAGCUCCCACCUGGGAUGGGGGUCCCUUCGCCUGGAGCGGCGGCGGCCGCCUCUUCGCCUUCCUCGUCCCCGGCGCUGCGCACCAGGCGGAUCCCGAGCGCCCAGAGCAGCAGAGCCAGCAAGCCUGCGCCUAGAGCCCAAGAAAGUUUGCAGCGCUUCCAAACGCUGGCGAAAGCCUCUUCGGCGCUCGAAUCUCCGGUCCCGUUUUGGCGGUGGCGGCGGCUCUCCACUUCCUCCGGCCCAACCGAAGAGCAGCAACCGUUGCAACCGGCUUCUAAGGCUGCCUCUGUUGAUACCGUCGCGGCUGCAGCCGCCGCCCCCUCGGAGUUUUUCUCCUCGCUCCAGCUGUCUUUGCUUCCGACCCUGCUCGCACAGUCGCUGCUCACAGCCAUAGCGAGAGGGCUCACCCCCCCGUGUCACCAGGGGGGGAGGAAACGCAACUCUCCAGAUUGAACCCAACCCCCUCUUCUCUCCCCCACCCCACCAAAAAAAUCCAACUCUCUUGCAGGCGCGCAGAAUGAUACUAAUUCCUUAAAACAGCGCCCUUGCAGAGGAGGGAAUUGCAAAAAAGCCCCCCCCCAAAUAUUUUUUUUUUUAAAAAAUCCAAACUGAACCAGUAGGCUUAAGGGCUGCGUGCAAAAGAGGCGAUGUUUUUUUAAAAAGUGAGAAUAAUAGCAAUUCAGGAGGAGUUGAAAACAAAGGGUUAAUACGCAUCGAAGGGUUUGAGUCUUCGUCUUACUCUCUCCGCCAGUUUUUUUUUUAAAUGAAAUCAAAGACCGUAAGUAUUGUAAGAGACCGGCCAGACACGGGGCUUUGUACAUCCGGAGAGUCGGCUGGUGGCGAUGCUCUUGUUAGGCCAUGGGUCCUCCGGGUCCUCCUCGCCUCUCGGCCCGGGGAGGAGGCGCAGGGCUGGCGGGCCGGAGCAGCCUGCGGGCCGACAGCGCCUGGGAAUCCCUUCCCACUCUCGCCGCUUUUUUGCCCUCCUCCUCCUCCGCUUCCUUGGUGGUGCCGCUGCUGCUGCCGUCGCUCUUGCUCCGCGCGCCUCUCUCACUCUGCCUGCCCGCUCGGGCGAUCCUUCCCAGCGGGAUCCCGGCCAGAAGCCACCGAUCGCCGCCGUGCCCCAUAGCUGGGGGCCGGAAGGCUGCCGCUCAUCGCAGGGCAGAAGGUGGGAAGUAAUCGAUCAAAAGGCGCAGAGCGGGAAAGUUGCUAAGUUUUGUUUGUUUUGGUGGUGGGGGGGGGAGGGUUUGCACGGGAGAGUAACCCGAAUGUUCUUCCUCUCGCGGCUUUUGUGUUGCCUUUGCGAAACGGAAAGCUCCUGCUGAAAGCGGCCACAAAGGAACCGAUCGGGCGGAGGUAGAAUUUACUAUCCGUCCCCCCCCCCUUAAAGGAGAGGGUCGAUUGAAAGAAGGGGCUUAGGCAGAGAAGCCUUUACUCCCCCCCCGUGUGUGUGUGUGUGUAAGCGGGCAAGCCUCCACCAACUCCUGUUGAGGAGUGAGUGGUUGGGGAGGACGGGGAGAGAAGGUCGGCUUGGGCUUGCCGUUCAGUCCUGCUCUGCUCUACACACCGGGUGGGUAGGUGGGGAACUACAGGAGAGCUGGAAAAGAGAGCGAGAAGCGAUAGGAUCAGAUAGCACCUGGAUUUCCCGUUGGUUGGCACCUCCGUCGCUGGCUGCAAGCGCCUGGCGGUGAUGAGGUUAAAAGCAGGUCAAAUUCAAUUACCGUAAUCCUAAGCACUCCUCCUACUCGGAAGUAGGGCCCAACGUCUUCAAUAGGACUUGCUUUUUAAUAACUAUGCACAGAAUUGGAGCUUUACAGCACGUGCACAACCUGUGAACACUUACCUGAGGACUGGUGCUAAGGAGGCUAUGAAAAUCCUGAAUUGGUAUCUGGACUCAAUGAGUGACUGGUCAUGAGCGAACAAGCUGAAGAGUAACCCAGAAGGUGCACUGUUUGUCCACAUUCUAUUACUGGCACACCUUUACUAUCAGCAGUUUGACCAUUAUUAAUGUUUCCUGACAUCACAACAGUUGAGCUGGGACCCUCUUUGGAAAACGCAUACCACUCUUGGACCAGUCACGCAGCACCUUGCUUACCUUGUCUGGAGCACACCCGGUGAGAGUGUUGACAAAAGAACCCAUUUCAGCCAAUCUCCUUAAACUGCUGGCUAUCUAACCAAGAAGUCCAAAGCACUGGGGAGCAUCUAGGGUUUAAAUGAUGAGGGUCAGUAUCAACGUCUAAAUCCAAAUUUCAAAAUGUGACAUUCUGAGAUCUCCAUGUUUAUAUAAAAUAA
Rhineura floridana is the source of this 2410-nucleotide long non-coding RNA. RefSeq lists it as uncharacterized. The transcript is spliced from 4 exons. The record is from RefSeq and is a predicted model, not a curated record. Lineage: Eukaryota; Metazoa; Chordata; Lepidosauria; Squamata; Rhineuridae.